Cajanus cajan (pigeon pea) is the source of this 350-nucleotide non-coding RNA. NCBI's taxonomy places the organism in Eukaryota, Viridiplantae, Streptophyta, Magnoliopsida, Fabales, Fabaceae. The record is from RefSeq and is a predicted model, not a curated record.
UAUACUUGUUUAGCCUCUGUUCACCCAUUUAAUUUUCUUAUUGGAAUCCUCGGGAAUUUAUUAGGUUUAUUCCAUGGAGACAGGCUUGUAAGCAGGAUAUGUGCUAAAGUAGAACGGUGAAUACGAGAAGAAACAUUUGUGAAGGAAUUCAAGAUGAGUGGAUUGCCUUCACUCAUUGAUAAGUUAGUGAAAUUCUUAACUCUAUUGAAGUCUGCAGAUGGCAAACAAAAGUCCCAGAUAGUGAAUCUGGUGCAAGAUAUUGCAGCAAUUAUCACACACGAUGUUAUGGUUGAUGGCCAUUUGUUUCAGCAAACACCUUAGCAAUAUUGUGCAAUGAGAAAGGAGAUGUU